Molecule: ribosomal RNA, 253 nt
Filed under: uncultured bacterium
Lineage: Bacteria
Description: partial 16S ribosomal RNA
Rfam family: Bacterial small subunit ribosomal RNA
Source: RNAcentral
UACAGAGGUCCCGAGCGUUGUUCGGAUUCACUGGGCGUAAAGCGCACGUAGGCGGAUGUGUCAGUCAGGGGUGAAAUCCCGGAGCUCAACUUCGGAACUGCCCUUGAUACAGCACGUCUUGAGUCCGGAAGAGGUGGGUGGAAUUCCUAGUGUAGAGGUGAAAUUCGUAGAUAUUAGGAAGAACACCGGUGGCGAAGGCGGCCCACUGGUCCGGUACUGACGCUGAGGUGCGAAAGCGUGGGGAGCAAACAGG